Molecule: long non-coding RNA, 1724 nt
Organism: Macaca fascicularis (crab-eating macaque)
Lineage: Eukaryota; Metazoa; Chordata; Mammalia; Primates; Cercopithecidae
Source: Ensembl
CCCCGUGUUUACUGAAAAUACAAAAAUUAGCUGGGUGUGGUGGUGGGUGCCUAUAAUCCCAGUUACUCGGGAGGCUGACACAGGAGAAUCACUUGAACCGGGCAGGCAGAGGUUGCAGUAAGCAGAGAUGGCGCCACUGCAGUCCAGCCGGGCUACAGAGCAAGACAGUGUCUCCAAAAAAACAAAAAAAAAAAACACGAAAAACCCCCUCAGAUAUCCAGAUAAGAGGAUACAGAUAUGUCCACUGUCAUAAAUUCUUCACCAUGCUAUAAGAGGGGAACUGACAUUUUGGUGAAUCUUUGUAAAUCAUCAAUUUAUCUAUCACACUUGUAUUUCACCAGUAGCAUUGACAAAGCUAAGUCCUACAAUUCCAUUUGAAAUUACCCUUAAAAAGAACAGACCUUUAAAACUUACUACACUCACUCUGGGGAAGAAAUAAAUACGAAUUUUUAGCAAAUAAAAUGCAUCAUUUUAUCUUGCCUCUUUGGAAAUAGUAUUUUUAUCUUUCAAGCUGUACUGACAAAAUGUAUCUUACAGUCAAUGACAAACUGAAACUCAAAUAAGAGGACAAGCCUUUUCAAGGUAACAAACUCAGGGAGAGGCAGUGCUGACUCCAACGCAGACCUUUCUAAGUGUCACGGCAGCCCAUUCUAUCCCUCGGGACACCCAUCCUGUUCAGUAAAGCACUCAGUGACCACCUAGGAGGCACUGGCACUGCUCUUUGUCCUCCUGUGUGCCUUCAGAGCAUUUUCAUAUUUAGGUUCUUGCACAUCCUCUCUGGGGUGGGUUUUCCUCAUCCUUUGGGAGAAUUUUUCUCUCUUCACAAGUCUGAGACAAUCUAGAAAGCAGAAAUCAUUUCUGCCUUUUCCUCUCAAUAUCAGCAUCCCAUUGGCAGACCAUCAAUGUGUCUCCGAGGAAUAAAACCUCCAGCUAGAGGAACAGUUUUAAUGACCUAGCUUUAAUGACGUUACGUUGUAUUGUCCAUUCAUUUUAAUGUCCUAAAAUUUUAAUAACCCUAAGGGGUCACCAUUUUAGAUGAAACUAUACCCGGAGAUUCCUCUAAGGCCAAGAGCAUCCAGCUGCUCCCCUGAGAGACUCUACCCCCUACUUCAGGCUGUCCUUGGGGAUGAGAUGACCCCGGGGCUGAUAUUCACUAGACCCUCCAAUAGACAUGGCCACUGUGGGUAUCCUGGGUCAUUCCCAGACAGUUCUAAAAUGCCAGGACUAGGAAAAGACAGGAGGGUGGCUGAGGACACAACACCCUGUAAAGUUUUCACGGGGAGACCUCAACCUAAAGACAUUUUGGUAAUAUGUACACUUAGGAAAGAUGAAAAGAAGAGAGGCACAAAGAUUUUUUUUUUUACAGUAGAGUGUCAGGUGAUUUAUUCUCCACUUUCCUCUCAUGUAAAAUGUUUGGAAACAGAAAAAUAUUUUGGUCAAGGUGGCUCACGCCUGUAUUCCCAGCGCUUUAGGAGGCUGAGGCGGGUGAUCAAUUAAGGUCAGGAGUUUGAAACCAACCUAGCCACAAUGGCAAAACCCUGUCUCUACUAAAAAUACAAAAAUUAGCAGGACAUGUGGUGGGCGCUUAUAAGCCCAGCUACUUGGGAGGCUGAGGCAGGAGAAUCGCUUAAACCUGGGAGUCAGAGGUUGCAAUGAGCUAAGACUGCGUCAUUGCACUCCAGCCUGGUGACAGGGCGAGACUCCAUCUCAAAAAAAAAAAAAAA